Molecule: long non-coding RNA, 816 nt
Filed under: Mus musculus (house mouse)
Lineage: Eukaryota; Metazoa; Chordata; Mammalia; Rodentia; Muridae
Description: predicted gene, 48594
Source: RNAcentral
CUUUUCUCUCACUCAACUGUAGCAGAAGGAGCCAGUCGCUGCUAAAAUAUCUCAUUUAUUCUCCAGGCUGCACUGGCUGAAAACUUCAUUCUUUCUGUCACUAUCGAGGAACCAUCAUCUAGGAAGAUGGCCAAAACUCUUGGCAAAAUGGUGAUCAACUUUUUAGCAAAAAAUUUGGAGAAUGUUUUUGGAAGGCAUUCAUUUCUUCAUUUCCUCCACAAGGCCCUGGGAUACACAGUAGAAUAUGGAUCUCAGAGGACAAAAGGACACAUAUAUACAGAUUGGAUGAACAAUGCUUCUGCACUGAGAAAAAAGCUGCAAAGCCAGGUCUGGUGAUCUGUCGCUGAGCACCGCCAGUACAGUGUUGGGAGCACAGCAGAGUUCCUCUCCAGCCAGUGAGCCUUCUGCUUAUUCGUCUUUUUCCGACUGGGGAAAGGGUCGAGGUGACCAACCUGUUCUUCUCUCCUAAGAUUUCUCCAGUUUCAGCACAGACAGUGAAGCAUCUCCUCCCAUUUCUCAGAGAACCAUGGCAGUUGGCCACCCUAACUUCCCUUUCCAGCAAAACCCAACACAAUUCAUUUAAAAAGCACCCCACGCCCACAUUUUGAAAACAACUGUCCCCAUCAUGUUUGUAAUACAUUCCAGAAAAAAAAAAUUGUUUUAAUAUGCUCAACUUAAAACACAUUGAAGACCAGAAUGGAAAUUGCGUGAAUAGUAUGUCAGAAAAGCCUCGUGGCUGGAAGGCUCAUUUGCAUUGGCAUUUACAAUGGAGAAAAUUUACAUAUUACUUGUGAAAUUAAAGACUCUUUUAAAAAG